Hypanus sabinus (Atlantic stingray) is the source of this 3380-nucleotide long non-coding RNA. RefSeq lists it as uncharacterized. The transcript has 4 exons. The record is from RefSeq and is a predicted model, not a curated record. NCBI's taxonomy places the organism in Eukaryota, Metazoa, Chordata, Chondrichthyes, Myliobatiformes, Dasyatidae.
AUGAGCAGUCGUGUAGUAAGACACAAAGGAAUUAUUAAAGAGUUCGUGUGUAACGAGAUCCAGAAAUGGAGUAAUUGUCCGGUCUGAACAAUUGGCUAUCGUGCAAAGGAGACAAAAAGCGGUGUUGCGUGCGAACGUGACUUGAGGGUACGUGAGAUGCCAGGAAUCUUAUGGCAGGUACAGCAACUUGAACUAUGCGCACUUAGUCACGCAACAGUCCAAAGCAAGCAGAACCGGAACACGCCUGUUCCCAGCACCCUUUCCUCGCCAGAGGCAUCACUCUCUCAGGGCAUUUAACUCCUCAAACAAGCUUGCUCGCUUUCAGUCUUGCGGCAGAUUUAAUCUAACCCGAGGCGGUCGCUAUCUUCUCACCAGCCCCCUCCCUCCCGUUUACAGGUAACCAACAGGUAGAUGAUAGUAUCUGCCACAUCCUGGUCUGUCAGACUGACGGGCUCCUUGCAACCAAGCUUCCAGUGAGGUGUUUUAUUGCACCAUUCUCAGUCAAGCGUGUCUCCGUGCUCCCUAAACUCUGCUGUGCACCGUCCUAUUUACAGAUUGCACUUUGUCCAACACUCCUGUUCCAGUUUCCAGAUUCCUAAAGCAAAAAAAAACAAGUUAUUGGAGGAACUCAGAGGGUGAGGCAGCAUCUGUAGUGGGAAAUGUAUGAUCAACGUUCCUGGUUGAGUCCUUUCAUCUGGACAGGAAUUUUCUCACUGUUUUCACUUAAAUACAAAAGUGCUCGAGAAUAUUUCUACUAAGGGCCAUCAUAUGGACAAGGCAAGGACUCAGAAUGUCCACUGUCCAUUUCCUUCCACAGGUAGGGCUGGACUCCUUUGAGUUCCUCCUGUGGCUUGUGUGUUGCUCCAGAUCCCAUCAUCUGUAGUCCCUUGUGUCUCCCACUCAUUGACACCUUAGCCUGAUCUUCGACCAUUACUGCGCUCUUGCCUUGCCAAAUGCAGAUCGCCAUUGACUCCUCCAGCUCAAGGAGCAAGAGCUGUGCAAGCGAGCCCCUUGCUCAGCAAGCUGCUCUCUCUGAUGUGGGACAAAAGAGCAGUGGUCGACAAAUUGGCUCAGCUAGUGGAGUGGCUGUCUCACUCUUGACCUGGGUUUAGUCCUGACCUCUGCUGCUGUCUGUGUGGAGUUUGCACGUUUUUCCUGUGAUCAUGUGCAUUUCCUCAGGAUACUCCGGUUUGCUCCCACAUGCCAAACACUUGUAAGUCGGUAGUUUAAUUGGCCACAAUAAGUUGCUCCUUAUGUGUAGUUUUCCAGCAGAAUCUGGAAGCAGCUGAUGGGAAUAUGAGGGGAAUAAAAUGUUAUUUAUUGUUGUAAAACUGUGUUUGAUGACUGGCAUGUGCUGAAAAUCCUGAUCCAUGCUCUGAGGCUCUACAAUUCCCUGAGUUCUUCCUGCAGUCGCUCACAAUAUUUAUCCUUCUACUAAAACCUACAUCACAACCUUUCCACAUUUGCUGCCUGGUAGCUCACAGGGCACAAACUCACUAUUUCCUAAAUUCAAGCAAAUGCACUUCUUUAUGAAGCACUUUGGGACAACCCCCUUUGGUUCUAGAAGACAAUCAGAAAAUACAAUCCACUUUCCACUCCAACAUAGCUUAGAUCCAACUAAUUUGGCCUUUUAGGCACCCACUAUUUUAAUUUUAGUGCCUUCAACUGCCCAGACCUUCUGUAAUUCCUUCGCUAAACCUCAUGGACUCUGCUUCUUGCCAACAUUCCUUACCUUCUUGACCAAGCACUUGGGAUAUUUUCAGUUAAAAAACUCAAGUGCUGGAGGACUUGGUGGUCAAGGCAGAUUCAGUAGAAGGAAAUGGAGGACAAUCGUUGUUUCAGAUGAUUUAUUUGGAAUUAAGUACGAUGUCUCUUGUGGCUCAAUGAACCCAUGACACUCAAUUACGUCCUUGUGACCAAUGAACCCAGUAACCUGUAUGCCUUUGGAAUGUGGAAGAAACUGGAGUACCUGGAAGAAACCUACAUGGUCUCAGGGAGAAUGUACAAACUCUGGAGACAGGGGCACAAUUGAACAGAAGUUACUGACUCUGCCAAUGAUAUGCUACUACACUGCCAUAAAGAUUCUAGUCCUGGGUAUGGUUUUAUGACAAGAAACUAGUGGUUCCAUUGGAAAAUUAUUAGCUAUCAGCCAUCUGUGGACCAGCUUAUUUCAGAUUUUGACAAGCAAACUUUGAAGUCUGGAGCAUCUUAAAUAUCUGGUGAUAUUCAGGGCUGAAAUGGCUAACAUGAAGGAACAUAGUUUUUAAGGUGCUUGGAAAUAGGUACCGAGAGAACGUCAGGGAUCUUAAAAGUGCAGGUUUAUUCUUGAUGUGUGGCAGAAACUUCCACGCAGGAGAAGGGAUUUCUUCGUAUCUGUGAGUUGAGUGAGAUAAGGAACAGAGUUUGGAGCCAGCAAAGCAAAUGAGGAUGAGCGAGACCAAAAUAUCCGUCAUACAGCGUGAAAAGGUGAGUGUUCCUGCCAUUGAGCUGAUACUUGAGGGGAGGUUUUCAAAUGGACGGAGAAGAAACAGCACUGAGAUGGAUGUAGCGGAAAAGAAAUUAUAUUCAUCACACGAACAGUUCACAAGUUGGAAAUGCAGCUGUGAACCAAGUUUCCACAUGGCAGAAGACACCUACAUCCCCACAGCAACUGGCAAAUCCAUCCCGCUAGUCUCCCAAAUGCUCAUUCAUCUGCCGUUCUUAUGUUAGGGAGGAACUUUACUGUUUUGUUGUCCUUUGGGCUUUUGGUUGUACUCUUGUUUUUCCCAGGAUAUUACACAGCAAGUCUUGAAGCCUUGAGGACAGUGGUCCAGGCUUGAUGGCAGACUAAAGAGCAUGCUGUAUUUUACCCCAUCAAUUUACCUUGGAGAACACAUUACUGUGAAGCUCUGGAGUGAUUGCAUUGCACAAUAUUUUUUAUUAUCUAACUAUCUUUCACUCUCUGUACCUAGUAGUAAUCCUGAUCCUGUCUGCUGUAGUUUCUAUUAUGAAAAUCAUAAUCAUGUUUAUUAUUGUUAGGGCAUAUUCUGGAGUUAGGGUGUAUAGCAAAUAUUAACAUCAGCAACAAUCUUUGGAUCUGAAUGUGGAUUGUAGAUUAAAUUUAAAAUGCAGCUCUGGACAAUAGUUUACUGGAGCCAUUGACAACAAUGGAUUGAAAGCCAGACAAGGUUGAUUAACUCAUUUUGGGUGUCUGGAGUAUGGGAGCAAACAAGGAGGUGUGAAAAUUGUUGCAAUUCAAAGGAAGCACUGUAGAUAUAUUGUCACUAUACAACUGUCCUGCCGUUACCGUUGAUCUUCAGCAUAUAAAAUGUUAUGUAACAUUGGGAUGAUCACACCUCUUCCUCUGAGAGUGUCUCAUUUUAUUGAUUAAAAUGCUUGUG